GAUGAACGCUGGCGGCGUGCUUAACACAUGCAAGUCGAACGGUGAAGGCGGAGCUUGCUCUGCUGGAUCAGUGGCGAACGGGUGAGUAACACGUGAGCAAUCUGCCCCUGACUCUGGGAUAAGCGCUGGAAACGGCGUCUAAUACUGGAUACGAGCUGCGACGGCAUCUUCAGCAGCUGGAAAGAACUUCGGUCAGGGAUGAGCUCGCGGCCUAUCAGCUUGUUGGUGAGGUAACGGCUCACCAAGGCGUUGACGGGUAGCCGGCCUGAGAGGGUGACCGGCCACACUGGGACUGAGACACGGCCCAGACUCCUACGGGAGGCAGCAGUGGGGAAUAUUGCACAAUGGGCGAAAGCCUGAUGCAGCAACGCCGCGUGAGGGACGACGGCCUUCGGGUUGUAAACCGCUUUUAGCAGGGAAGAAGCGAAAGUGACGGUACCUGCAGAAAAAGCGCCGGCUAACUACGUG
RNAcentral lists this ribosomal RNA (468 nucleotides) under uncultured bacterium. RNAcentral describes it as "partial 16S ribosomal RNA". It matches the Rfam family "Bacterial small subunit ribosomal RNA", at positions 28 to 507 of the family's 1533-position model. The record is from RNAcentral.